ACCACCAUCUUGCUCUUUCCUUUCUUCGGGGCUACCUUCCCAAGGGUUCGGUUGUUCGCCGAUUCAAGUGGUACGUGAGUUGGGUUUAGAACGUCGUGAGACAGUUC
Molecule: non-coding RNA, 107 nt
Filed under: Gossypium hirsutum (cotton)
Lineage: Eukaryota; Viridiplantae; Streptophyta; Magnoliopsida; Malvales; Malvaceae
Description: Bacterial large subunit ribosomal RNA
Rfam family: Bacterial large subunit ribosomal RNA
Source: Rfam by way of RNAcentral